Molecule: transfer RNA, 72 nt
Filed under: Florenciella parvula
Lineage: Eukaryota; Dictyochophyceae; Florenciellales
Rfam family: tRNA
About the family: Transfer RNA (tRNA) molecules are approximately 80 nucleotides in length.
Source: RNAcentral
GGAUGUGGCGGAAUUGGUAGACGCGUUAGAUUUAGGUUCUAGUAGGUUUUCCUGUGGGGGUUCAAGUCCCCC